Molecule: long non-coding RNA, 1487 nt
Organism: Patiria miniata (bat star)
Lineage: Eukaryota; Metazoa; Echinodermata; Asteroidea; Valvatida; Asterinidae
Exons: 3
Source: RefSeq, a predicted model, not a curated record
UUGACGAGAAACCCACAGGAGACCAUAUUUUAUCUGCUGUGGCAAUCGUGAGCGAGGACCAUCAGUUUGAUGAGGUUACAUCGCCAGAGACGGAGUAAACAUCAAGACGAUUCUACCAUAGCCUUCCUGCCACAACAGUGUCACAACAUCAGCCACAAUAUCGGCAUCAAUCAACUAGAUCUACUACGCAAGGAUUGUGAUCAUCAUGCACUCACCUGGGUUUUGAGGGUGCAACAAACAGCGAUCAUGAUAGCCUUUCCAUAGCAGCAUCGGUCAGACUUGACCUUAUAACCCUGAAGAGAGAAGGCUCCUCAUUGGUGGAUCUUGGAACUCAGACUGGAGGGGGAUUAGUUGUGCUCUUUGGGUUUUUUCCCCCAACUGAUUAACCUUUUGUAGGCAAAUUUAUGAGAAAACUUCUGAUUUGACCUGUUACUCUAAAUAUUUUUAUUCAAUUAAUUUUAAUUGAAAUAAAUUAUAUUGUUUUUGGAAAGAGUGCGAAAUAAAUUUUUAGCUGGGAAUGAUUAGCUAUGACUUAAUGCUCAAAAUUAUAUGAAGUUGAAGAUGUAAAAUGAAUUUUUCUUGAGGAUUGGUCAAGCAAGAGCAAUGAUUUAUUUGUAUUUGCAAAUGUGUGUAUGUAGUUUUGGAGUUGCUUCACAAGAUUUUAUCCUAUCAACCUAUCUGGGUUUUUAGAGGCCAAAUCAAAUUAAGUUUCAACCGCAUACUUUAUUAUGACACAGUUGACCAAAACUUAAAACUAAUUUGUAUGUUAAACUAAAUCUUCCCUGUGCAAGUUUUAUUUGUGCGUUCUUGGUUAAGUGAACAAUAAUUGGCCAGAAUACCCUUACAUUAAAGGAAUCAUACAGUAAACAACUAAGUAUUAAAGACUGACAGAUAAAAACUGGUUAGUUGUUAGGUGUUUAGUAUUAGUACGAUCUUUAAUCCAAGUAAGCUUUUGGAUAUUAAUAAUUGGCUAGGUAAUACCGUUUGGAUAGAUGCAAACUAACAAAUACUAAUUUGCAUGCGAUCAUAAAUCCUUAAAUUCAAUGUCUUAUUAACCUGCAAAGCACUUACUAAUAUUGUUUAUUUUAGUACCCGUUCAUUUCUUUUCAUUUAAUGACAUACAUUCAGUUUAAUAUGACCUCACUUUUAAACCCAUUUAUAAUUUUACUUCCUAUUUGUUUGACUAUUUUAAAAUAGUUAACCCUAACGUCCUAGCCAUUACUUUGGGAUGAAGAACGGAGUACGGUACUUCAGAUACUAGUAGUGUUGUGCACACUUAUAUGCUGAAGUAGAUCAUUCUAUAGUUUACUGCUAGUAGUAUUUUGUAGCUUUAGGUCAGGUUUUUAAUUGAAACUUUUUGUUUCAUUUCUUGUCUUCUUUGAGAGACCACAUUAAGUGUCAAUGGGUUUACCCUGAUUAAAGAUCAGAAAUAAUAAAUACAAAUCUCAUAAUUUACUUACCAUAGGCCAAGUAAAAAAAAGUUUAGC